Long non-coding RNA from Lepisosteus oculatus (spotted gar), 1353 nucleotides. RefSeq lists it as uncharacterized. NCBI's taxonomy places the organism in Eukaryota, Metazoa, Chordata, Actinopteri, Semionotiformes, Lepisosteidae. The record is from RefSeq and is a predicted model, not a curated record.
CUAAAUAGUGUUGGGAGUCCUGCAUAGACAGAGGAGAACACAUGGCUCCUGAAGAGGACUGGAAGAGGAUUUCGCUUACUGCUUCAGUGGGACUUGAAACAGAAUAUCCACACCAAGCACCCGGAGUGGGGAGGGAAAUGUUAUUCCAGAUCUUUGAUGCCAGCUCAUCUCUCAAAUUGACCUCAGUUGACUGGCGAAGCCGACAGCUCGCGCACUCACCAAGCCUGAAGGCUGCGGGCUCAGCUUUUUCCAUCGCCUGACAGUCAUGUGGCUUUUGUGCGCUGAGAUCCUCUCGUCUUCAGGAAACUGCAGCGCGGGGCUCACAUUUGCAGGUUGCACAUUCGGAGUUGGGGUGUGUGUGUGUGGGGGGGUGUCUAUGUUUUAUGGGCUUCUCUGUAUGUACUAUGGCUUAGAGGAGAGAUACAGAAACAUAGACUAGUAAAAGAAAAACGAUGUAAUCAAGAGUAUAUAGUGUGUGGUGUUGAAUGGUUUGCAAAUUUACUCCAGGAUUUACUGCCAGUAUGUGCAGGGUUUAAUUUCAUCAGUGUGCAGCCUUAGCAUGUGUCGGCUCACUUCAACAGGCCCUGUCUCACAACCGUCAGUGAAAGAGGUGCGAGAAACAGGAAUACUGGAUGCUUGGAGACAACGUGAAAUCGAACACAAAACAUAUUGAAGAAAUAAAGCCUGAUAUGUUUUUUUAAUUCCUUUUGAGCUUUUAUUUCACCCCUGCGCAGAAAGGUGAAACUGUCACUCAACGUAAACAAGGUAGAUGGAGCCACAGGGUAUUUACAUUAGCGCCACUCUGAAAAUGUGGCCCAAUCAUCCCAUCCAUCGAUUUCCUAAACGCUUCUUCCAGUUUGGGGUCUGGUCUACCAGCCGGUCCUGGUAAGCACCUGGUGCAAACCGGUGCUGCCCCUAGCCCAUUAAUCAAGGUGUGGUAUUUUUUAUUUUAUAUUAAUGCAUCAUAACUUUGUGCAAGUUGUUAUGUGACUGAAUAAUAAUAAAAGUACGAAGAAAAAAACAGAAUGAAAUGGUUGAAGCACGGCACCUUGCCCAGCUCCAUCUUCCAGACCGACCAUCAGAUGUACACCAGAUCUGAGUCCUCACCUUCGUCUACGAAAUACAUGUACUGAGAAAUUAAAUACACUACAAAUGAGUGGAGAGACCCACAGUAUGUGGUAUGUUAUUUGAUGGGGCAGGUGGUGGCACUGUGGCUAAGGCUCUGCACCUAUUGGCGGAAGAUUGCUGGUUCAAAUCCCAUGGUUACCAGAGGGCUCCUACUCCAUUAGGCCCCUGAGCAAGGCCCUUAACCCUGAGUGCUCCAGGGGUGCUGUACAAUGGCUGAUCCUGUGC